Triplophysa dalaica is the source of this 1883-nucleotide long non-coding RNA. RefSeq lists it as uncharacterized. Lineage: Eukaryota; Metazoa; Chordata; Actinopteri; Cypriniformes; Nemacheilidae. The transcript is spliced from 5 exons. The record is from RefSeq and is a predicted model, not a curated record.
UGUAAGGUACACUGUACAUGUCACACUUUAAAAACAGUCUUGACUCAUGAAUAUUAAUUAGGUGACGUAACAUCCUUUUAGUCUCCUGUCUUGGGUGAUGUGCUGAAACGCAGCCAGAUGUGUUCGCCUCAAAAGGCUGAAUUACAGACAGUGUAAAAAAAUUACCUUAAAAUAUUUAUAAAGCCUCAAGUCACAUCUUAUCAUCUGGUCUAUUAAGGGCCUAAUCACAUUUUCCCAAUUGAACCGCGCCCGGACGCGCAAUGACACUCGGCAGUUAGUGAACCGGCCCCGGCCUGGAUGGAAGAAGUGGGCUGGAGUGAGGUUGACAUCCAUCUAGAUCAAAAUGUCUGAAAAGCCAUUAAUGCCCUGCUUGGAUGAGGUGUGUGAUAAGCUCUCCAGAGAUUUGAUCAAUCAAGGUGGACGUUUGACGGGAGAGGCGUGGAUGUGUCCAGCCAGUGGAACCUGGCGUCUGCUUGAAUGCCCGUCAACAUCGUACGCACCCACAGAUUCACACAAACACACAAAAGCACACGCAUGUAAAGGAAAAAAACUCUUCACAGCCCUUCAGUUUUUGACAGAUUGAUCAUAGCUGCCAGAACAUUCUGUGGCUGUCAGUUUUGUAGCAACUAAAUCACACUCCCCAAAGAUUUAACCAUUUGAAAUUAAGAUUUUAUGGAGCGAAUCACACGCCUGGCAAAAAACCUUUUGCCAGGCCCAUGUAUUAAGAAUUCAUGCAUUCAUUGAAGCUGAUGUUCUGAUGAAUUACUGACCACUCGUUGACCCCCUGAUGUUUGUUUUCAGCCUUGUUCUGUCAAGAAACAUUUGACUUUUAUUUGACAAUUAUUGACUUUUAAUAAUUUUGGCUCGUUUGGCACCAGAUAACUUUUUUAUUGUAUUCUGCUAAGCAUUACAUUCACAAUUUACUAAUGUAAUUUUUUCAAUUCAUUUUGUGCUACUAGUCUAUCUUCAAUAUCGCACUUUCUCCUCGAAAUUCCAUUCUCUUUUGUGUAUUUGGGUCUUUAAACUUUGAACUUGUAGCAGGGCCCGUUUUCUCCACCCAUUUCAUUUACAUUGAAUAGGUCAUUGGUAGCCAACUAGGUGGAACUAAUUUGGCACAGAAGUGUGGAGAGACUGGGCACAGUGUCACAUGCAAGCCACUGGCACGUAAUGAGGAAUACCUGAUUAGUGUUAAGCAGAAGAAUGUGUCUGUCUACCCCAUCCAAGCGUGGAAAGAGAUCUUCCUCAAUGGCCCUUAUAGUAAAAUACACAUUUUCAUCUUUUUCCUCUUAUCUCUGUCAAUUUAGGUUUAUAUUCUGGUUAACUGGGACCCCAUUGGACAGAUCUUUCUUUUGGCAUUACAUUGACUACAUUAUUUAACCUUACUCUACCGUUAAAUCUCAUACCAUUAUAUACUGUAUGCGCAACACUUAGCAUUGAUUAAGACUGAAUAUUCAUGCACUGACCCUGUUCAGAGUUGAGGGUAUUUAUUCAUGGGUCAUGAAUACCUAAGCUUUUUGCCUUCAGAUUAAUUUCCGCCUCUGUCUGUUUUGAAUGGGACCAUUACAGUUGUGAAGCUCUAAUUAAGCUCUACCUUUCAAUACAGAAGGCUCUACCAUCUGCUUGUUGUCGUAUGCACCACAAACAUAAGGGCACUGACAACAACUGAGAUGAGAAUUACAACACAGCCAGAAAAGAAACUACUUUUCAAAUUAAAAAUGCCAGCACAAAUGUUCCGCGCUCAAUGGCAUAUAUUAAGCAAUAUUUUUUAUAUAGUUGAUUUUGGAAUUGAUAUAUUUUCAUAAUACAUGUAUUAUAAAUUACUUGAAUAUGAAAUCAAACAUCAAGUAAUAAUUCUGGUUUUGGUUUAGUUUAAUAUUUCCGGU